UGUUUAUUUCACAUGUACUCAUCAUUACAUCAUAAAGCAAUUUGUUUUCCAAAAUAUUUAGAAAUAGGUUAAGCUACGCUUGUCUUGUACCACCGCAUCGGGACAAUAAACCGGAGAUUCGUGCCAGUUUUAAACCUUUUUGUGUGCUAUUUUUGGGGGCUGUCUCCUACUGAGCGGUGUCUGGUGCAAGGGAUGAUGAGGAGGCCAUUGUUAGAGGAGUGCAGUGAGCUGGUGGGAAUGUAGGGGUGCAGAAGGUCAGUAAUGUAUGAGGGCGCAAAUCCAUUGAGUGCUUUGUAGGUGCGCAUGAGCAGUUUGAAGGUGAUCCUGUUCAAUUGUCUGAUUUCAAGGAUCUGGGGUUGGAGGCUGUUGUCCUCAUCUUGAAGAAAAAUGGAGAACAAAAGUGGUGGGCAACAGGUCGUCACAGAGAAUUUGACCUUUCCUUUGCAGGGAUUUUCACUCGCGCUUCCUGCAGUUAGUCUGUGCGUAUGGUCAAGCAAAUGGGUUUUGCGAGAGAUAGCUUGAGCUGACAAUGACUACUCCUGGCAUUCCAUAAACAAGAUGUGGUAUGUGUCACGCCUGCUCCCGCUCCACGUCAUGCUUCAACCAGCCAUCAGGCUCCCGCGCCUCAGCCGGUUCGUCAGGCUCCCACAUCUCAGCGGGAUCAUCAGGCUUUCACGCCUCAACCGGAUCAUCAGGCUCCCACGCCUCAGCCGGUUCGCCAGGCUCCUGCUCUCCCUCUCUGGCGCUCGAAGGCGCCAGACUGCCUAUCAUGACGCACACCUGUCACCUUCGUCACGCGCACCUGUGCCUCAUUGGACCCACCUGAACUCCAUCAUUAUUUGAUUGCCUCCCCUUUAUCUGUCUGUGUCCUCUGUUUCAUCUUGUGUCAGCAUUGAUGUCGUUAUUUUGUCACCUGUUCAGACGCUGUUCCUGUCCUGUUUCAUGUCCGUAUUUUAUAACAUGUUCUCCCUGUACCUGCUUCCUGUCUCCAGCAUCUAGUUCUGGAGGUUAAAGACGUCUUCAAUUCUACAUUGAAUUAAAGACAAUAUGAUGGGACGCUGUCAUCUCUUUGGUGGCCUACCCAGCAUUUCAUUAUCAGUUAAGCUCAAGAGUGUGGGUUUGACAGCUUCAUUAUUGCAAUAAGUAAUCGAUGUUAAAUAGAGAUUGAUUGUUUGAAUAAUUGUCCAAGUCUCUCUCAGUAGAAUUUCCACAACAUUUCCUAAGCACAUUUUCCAUAAAUACCCAUGAUAACAAUAAUAAUACUAAUAAUCAUUAGGUGGGUGCUUAAACUUGUCCUAUCAUUCUGCACCAUGUUCUUUUAAUUGUUCAUAUGUGAAAACACAACUGGACCACAGGAGGGUCGGAGGAGCCAACCAGAUCUAGUUCUGAAGAUGAAUGUGGUGGAAAAGGUUGGUUCCCCUGCCGCUCUUUUGUGGAGGGGACCAACGUCAUCAGAUGUCUGGGGCAUGAGUUAACCAUCAAGUGACUGUUAUCUUUUGGAAACAAACAGCUGGAAGACAUACUGCAAAAGGCAGGGGACGUACAUUUUGAAAAUAGUAGGUGUAAAUGAAUGAUAUCUUUGUCUCGUUCUAUCUUGUUAUUGUUCAAUGUUCCAAUGAAAAUAUUACUUGUGAUAACUGAAUAGAUAUUGUAGGCUGCCCAACCCCUGAAAUGACUCUUAACAACUCUAUGCAAGAGGUUUCAUUGUGUAAAAAAUAAGUAAGGGAAUGUCUGCACAAUAAUAUAUAUUUGUAGAUAGAAGUUGCUCUUUUGGUAAGGGGUUAAUGUUUCCCUCUCUGAUCAUGUGUAGAAUAAUUAAGUGAUAAUGCCCUCGAAACCGGUGUUCGGAGGAUAUAUCGGCACGGGUGUUGUCAGGCCUGAGACGAAGCUGAAGGCUGGCAAACUGUGCCAGUAUAUCCUCCAACAACUGGCUUCAAGGGCAUUAUCACUUUAAUACAACGGUUUACCAAGAUAUUCAAAUAAUGAUUGAUAUAUUUUCAUUAGAAAACAUUAUUUUGAUUAAUUUAUUCAUACUAUUUCAUCCUUCCACAAGAUAUAGUCCCGACACAAAUCUAGGGUUGCUACUCAAGCUGGCUGGUCGUUCAUUCUCUGUUCGUUGGCCGGAGACACGACCGAGUUCAGUCUUUUUGUUCUGUAUCUAUGGACAUAACCCAGUCGUUCUUUCUAAAUGUUCCAUUGCCAUACUGGCUGGCAACGUUUUUAUCCCUUGGUUUCUAGCUAGCCAACAACAGCUCACUUACAGUCAGAUCUAACAGUGCAGCCAGAAUAACAACAGUGCUGAAUUUGCAUUUGUUUACUCUGUUUUCCAGUGAAUCUGUUUUUGCAUAUAUCCAUAACAAUGAGCUAAUAAGGCGCGAUUUCGCCUGGUAUAGAAAAUGUGCUCUCUCGUCAGGACACUGUUGUUCAGAGGAGCUAUACAACAAAACAACAGCUAACACAAUCACUUCAAACUGAAGAUGGAAAGACUGCAAACUAGCUCUCUUUCAAUCUACAUUUAUGUAUGUAUCCAUAAAAAUUAUGCCAGAUGAUUCAUGAUUUUGAUUGGCUGAGAAACUCUGCCUGCCUGUCUGUCUUGUCUCGACUCCCAACCAAUUCAUUACUAGGGGACAGCUGGAGAUUGAAUUUUAAUAUUGAAACAAUGUUGCAAAUGUCGCAGAGACAGACAGCAAGGUUUACACAAAUCUCUGCUGUUUAUAACUAAAUGUUAGUCUGAAAGAAAUGCGAGAUAAUGUCUAGAUGCUUUUUAUAGUGGGGAUCAAGUUCAUAAUCUACAUGGCUUGGUUGAUGAGACAGUGGAUUGCACAAUCAGAUGGAACAGAGUAAAUUGGCAUUUUAACUUCAUAGAUUUAGCCGGUUGGAACUUGUCGAAUAGACACCACCUGGAAUGCGGUUUUAAACAAUCUGCAUUCUGGAUUAGAACCACCCAUUGAACAAAGCCCUUUUUAAACCAGUUUCCCCCGGUAGCAGAUGGGAGAAUCCGAGUUCAGAUGGCCACACAGAACUCCCUUCUAUCUCAGGUCCCUCAGCCACGGGGCAGUUAAUUUCAAGUGAGGGCACCAGGCUACCAGUCUUUACAUGCGCCUGUCACCAUCAUUACGUGCAGCAGCGCUCAUUAGACUCACCUGGACUCCUUCACGUGGUAGAUUGCCCAUGUAUAUCUGUCUGUUCCUCGGUGGUGUUCCCUGUGUCCGCAUUAAUUGUUGUUAUGUGUUCCUGUCCAGACGUUGUUCCUGUUCUGUUUCAUGUCCGUCAGCUAUUAAAAUGU
Oncorhynchus keta (chum salmon) is the source of this 3286-nucleotide long non-coding RNA. RefSeq lists it as uncharacterized. Lineage: Eukaryota; Metazoa; Chordata; Actinopteri; Salmoniformes; Salmonidae. The transcript has 4 exons. The record is from RefSeq and is a predicted model, not a curated record.